UUGGAGGGCAAGUCUGGUGCCAGCAGCCGCGGUAAUUCCAGCUCCAAUAGCGUAUAUUAAAGUUGUUGCAGUUAAAAAGCUCGUAGUUGAAUUUCGGGAUUUGUCGUGUGGCGGUCUACAGUCGCCGUAUGGCUUGAUGGAUUCUACCUUCUGAAUAACCAGCAUGCUAUUAAGUUAGUGCGUUGGGGAAGCAGAGCUAUUACCUUGAAAAAAUUAGAGUGCUUAAAGCAGGCUUAUGCUUGAAUAGAUUAGCAUGGAAUAAUAAAAUAGGACGGCAUGGUUCUAUUUUGUUGGUUUCUAGGAUCACCGUAAUGAUUAAUAGGGAUAGUUGGGGGCAUUAGUAUUCAAUUGUCAGAGGUGAAAUUCUUGGAUUUAUUGAAGACUAACUUCUGCGAAAGCAUUUGCCAAGGAUGUUUUCAUUAAUCAAGAACGAAGUUAGGGGAUCGAAGACGAUCAGAUACCGUCGUAGUCUUAACCAUAAACUAUGCCGACUAGGGAUCGGACGAUGUAAUUUUUAAUGACUC
This 524-nucleotide ribosomal RNA is filed under the name uncultured Glomeromycotina. RNAcentral's name for it is "SSU rRNA". It matches the Rfam family "Eukaryotic small subunit ribosomal RNA", at positions 548 to 1077 of the family's 1831-position model. The record is from RNAcentral. Lineage: Eukaryota; Fungi; Glomeromycota.